CUGUGCCCAGGAUUUGAACCUGCAAACCCUGGGCCACUGAAGCACAGCGUGCGAACUUAACUGCUAUGCCACCAGGCUGGCCCCUGCUUUAACAUUCUUUUCCAUUAGUUUCUCACAAAAACUCUGAGGUACAUAUUAUCCUGGCUUUUUCAGUAAGGAAAGCUGUAAUUUACUCAAGGCCAUACAAUUGAAAAGCAGUGGAGCUGGGACACACCCAGAACUUGAGACCCUUGGUCACGUGGAGAGACUGCAUGAUGGAAGGGAAGGCAGAACUUCUCCCUUGUCUGCAGUGUCUUAAAAGUAACGGAGCCCAAAAGAAUCCUCCUGCCAAAGAGACACAUCUUGAGAUUAGCCCUGAGCUAACUGCUGCC
This 371-nucleotide long non-coding RNA is filed under the name Equus caballus (horse). Its description in RNAcentral is "lncRNA (ENSECAG00000044636.1)". Lineage: Eukaryota; Metazoa; Chordata; Mammalia; Perissodactyla; Equidae. The record is from RNAcentral.